RNAcentral lists this ribosomal RNA (465 nucleotides) under uncultured bacterium. Its description in RNAcentral is "bacterial SSU rRNA". It matches the Rfam family "Bacterial small subunit ribosomal RNA", at positions 330 to 793 of the family's 1533-position model. The record is from RNAcentral.
GCCAGACUCCUACGGGAGGCAGCAGUGAGGAAUAUUGGUCAAUGGUCGGGAGACUGAACCAGCCAAGCCGCGUGAGGGAGGAAGGUACAGAGUAUCGUAAACCUCUUUUGUCAGGGAACAAAGACUGGGACGCGUCCCCGGAUGAGUGUACCUGAAGAAAAAGCAUCGGCCAACCCCGUGCCAGCAGCCGCGGUAAUACGGAGGAUGCGAGCGUUAUCCGGAUUUAUUGGGUUUAAAGGGUGCGUAGGCGGGCUGGUAAGUCAGGUGUAAAAGCCCGGGGCCCCACCCCGGCGAGCCGUUGAAACUGGCUGUCUUGAGAUGUCGAGAGGUAUGCGGAAUGCGCAGUGUAGCGGUGAAAUGCUUAGAUAUUGCGCAGAACUCCGAUUGCGAAGGCAGCAUACCGGCGGCGAUCUGACGCUGAGUCACGAAAGCGUGGGUAUCGAACAGGAUUAGAUACCCCUGUAU